Sorghum bicolor (sorghum) is the source of this 466-nucleotide long non-coding RNA. RefSeq lists it as uncharacterized. The record is from RefSeq and is a predicted model, not a curated record. NCBI's taxonomy places the organism in Eukaryota, Viridiplantae, Streptophyta, Magnoliopsida, Poales, Poaceae. The transcript is spliced from 2 exons.
GAGAGAGGAAGAGAAGUGGCCACCGACGGGCACAGCAGCGGCGCCUCCAGCUUCCCCAUCCGUUUCAAGCGCCUGCAGCCUGGAGCUAUGUUGGGGAAGAACUUGUUCGCACAUCCGCGAAGGCUCUGGGACAUCAAGACGUCCGACGACCAUUGACCUGGACCUGGACACAGAACCACAGCGAGCCGAUCGAAGAAGCCGCGGCCACAUCGAGCCGAGUAGCUUAAACCAUGCAAUGCAAGAUGGGAUCGAAGAACCUUCAGCCGUUCAGCGAAUCAAUUGGGCUGACUGACUGAACUGUGCAGUCCCAAUUGUCAAAAGUUUGGUAGCCAACAGGGCUUCACAUUCAGUGUGUUUAACAGAGCUUGACUCUGAAAAUUCAGGUUCAGUGUUCUUGACAGCCUGCGUUGGACAGCUGAUUUUGAUAUGUGAUUCUACUUUGAAAAGCAGGGCCCUUUGCCUUCAA